This 29-nucleotide non-coding RNA is filed under the name Mus musculus (house mouse). Lineage: Eukaryota; Metazoa; Chordata; Mammalia; Rodentia; Muridae. The record is from RNAcentral.
UGCGGCAGCUAUGACUUAGGUUCCUCCCA